UACGUAUGGUGCAAGCGUUGUCCGGAAUUAUUGGGCGUAAAGAGCUCGUAGGCGGUUUGUCGCGUCGAAUGUGAAAACCCGGGGCUCAACCCCGGGCCUGCAUUCGAUACGGGCAGACUAGAGUUCGGUAGGGGAGUCUGGAAUUCCUGGUGUAGCGGUGAAAUGCGCAGAUAUCGUAAGGAAGACCAGUGGCGAAGGCGAAUCUCUGGACAGUUACUGACACUGAGGCACGAAGGCCAGGGGAGCAAACGGG
This 253-nucleotide ribosomal RNA is filed under the name uncultured bacterium. Its description in RNAcentral is "partial 16S ribosomal RNA". It matches the Rfam family "Bacterial small subunit ribosomal RNA", at positions 524 to 776 of the family's 1533-position model. The record is from RNAcentral.